This 653-nucleotide unclassified non-coding RNA is filed under the name uncultured Prochlorococcus sp. RNAcentral's name for it is "partial 16S-23S ribosomal RNA intergenic spacer; may also contain 16S ribosomal RNA and 23S ribosomal RNA". The stretch from base 300 to 372 matches the Rfam family "tRNA". Lineage: Bacteria; Bacillati; Cyanobacteriota; Cyanophyceae; Synechococcales; Prochlorococcaceae. The record is from RNAcentral.
UUGUGGAGGAGGACGCCGAAGGUGGGGCUAAUGACUGGGGUGAAGUCGUAACAAGGUAGCCGUACCGGAAGGUGCGGCUGGAUCACCUCCUAACAGGGAGACAACAAAAUAUAAAUAUUAAUUUUGUCACCUUAGGUCGAUCGGUAUCUCAGAUUCUUUUUAAAGAAUUUCAGUUUCUAAGUUUUUUCUAGGUCACACCCAUCACUUUUUCCUGGGCCAUUAGCUCAGGUGGUUAGAGCGCACCCCUGAUAAGGGUGAGGUCCCUGGUUCAAGUCCAGGAUGGCCCAUAUCUCUAUGUUGGGGGUAUAGCUCAGUUGGUAGAGCGCCUGCUUUGCAAGCAGGAUGUCAGCGGUUCGAGUCCGCUUACCUCCACUGAAUACCACCUCUUGCAUAUAUUUAAAGAGGGAAAUUGUUUUGAGUCGUGUCCUAAUUUGCUCUGAGCGAAUCUAGCUUCCUAUUUUAUUUAAUAAAUAAGAUGCUGGACUCAUUGAAAUUUUUUUUCAUUGUUUUUCAGAGAACCUUGACAACUGCAUAGAUUAUUUUGAAGACAAUAAGCAUCUUUAAUGAUGCAGAUUUAUUAUUUGUGCGAAUGCAUUAAAUAACAAUUCUAUUAAGCUGAUGCUUCAAUUAUUGAAGUUAUUGGUCAGCUACAA